RNAcentral lists this ribosomal RNA (305 nucleotides) under uncultured bacterium. RNAcentral's name for it is "bacterial SSU rRNA". It matches the Rfam family "Bacterial small subunit ribosomal RNA", at positions 337 to 659 of the family's 1533-position model. The record is from RNAcentral.
ACCUACGGGGGGCAGCAGUGGGGAAUAUUGCACAAUGGGCGCAAGCCUGAUGCAGCGACGCCGCGUGAGCGAAGAAGUAUUUCGGUAUGUAAAGCUCUAUCAGCAGGGAAGAAAAUGACGGUACCUGACUAAGAAGCCCCGGCUAAAUACGGGCCAGCAGCCGCGGGAAUACGUAUGGGGCAAGCGUUAUCCGGAUUUACUGGGUGUAAAGGGAGCGUAGGCGGCCUGGCAAGCCUGAUGUGAAAUACCGGGGCCCAACCCCGGGGCUGCAUUGGGAACUGCCAGGCUGGAGUGCCGGAGAGGCA